AUUGAACGCUGGCGGCAGGCCUAACACAUGCAAGUCGAGCGGGGUUUUCGGACCUAGCGGCGGACGGGUGAGUAAUGCGUAGGAAGCUGCCCGAUAGAGGGGGAUACCAGUUGGAAACGACUGUUAAUACCGCAUAAUGUCUACGGACCAAAGUGUGGGACCUUCGGGCCACAUGCUAUCGGAUGCGCCUACGUGGGAGUUAGCUAGUUGGUGAGGUAAUGGCUCACCAAGGCGACGAUCUCUAGCUGGUUUGAAAGGAUGAUCAGCCACACUGGAACUGAGACACGGUGCAGACUCCUACGGGAGGCAGCAGUGGGGAAUAUUGGACAAUGGGCGCAAGCCUGAUCCAGCCAUGCCGCGUGUGUGAAGAAGGCCUUCGGGUUGUAAAGCACUUUCAGCGAGGAGGAAGGGAUGUAUGUGAAUAGCAUGCAUUUUUGACGUUACUCGCAGAAGAAGCACCGGCUAACUCUGUGCCAGCAGCCGCAGUAA
This 489-nucleotide ribosomal RNA is filed under the name uncultured bacterium. Its description in RNAcentral is "partial 16S ribosomal RNA". It matches the Rfam family "Bacterial small subunit ribosomal RNA", at positions 30 to 523 of the family's 1533-position model. The record is from RNAcentral.